RNAcentral lists this unclassified non-coding RNA (186 nucleotides) under plant metagenome. RNAcentral's name for it is "partial contains small subunit ribosomal RNA and internal transcribed spacer 1". The stretch from base 1 to 46 matches the Rfam family "Eukaryotic small subunit ribosomal RNA", at positions 1786 to 1831 of the family's 1831-position model. The record is from RNAcentral.
AAGUCGUAACAAGGUUUCCGUAGGUGAACCUGCGGAAGGAUCAUUAAAGAAAUUCGGCUUCGCGGCCAAGUUCUCACCCUUUGUAUACCGAAACUAUGUUGCUUUGGCAGGCCCCCUGCAUUUCCGGGCCCUGCCAGAGGUAUAAACCCUAAAUAUCUGCUGUCUGAGUACUAACAAUAGUUAAAA